Molecule: long non-coding RNA, 2270 nt
Filed under: Mus musculus (house mouse)
Lineage: Eukaryota; Metazoa; Chordata; Mammalia; Rodentia; Muridae
Description: long non-coding RNA chr12:105114960-105117230
Source: RNAcentral
AGAAGAGGACAAUGGAGACAAAAACGGGGGCCAUACUAUUCUUGAUUCUUCAUCUAGAGUGUCAGCUCUAUCCCGAGGCUGGCUUCUCUCUCAUGGUAGCAAAAUGACCCCACAGUGCCAUACCUAUUGGCAAAAUGUUGGCUCUGGUGAUGUUUCUUGGCUGCAUAUGAAUAAAAGCUCCUCCCUAGCAGAACUCUUGGGUAAUGUGUAAGAAUCACCCAGAUAGACUGGUUUUGAAGGCAUGAAGAGGUCAUGGAGAGCAGCUGAGGCUUGGCAUUAUGAGAGAGAGGUCAGGGAAGGACGUUAGUGAAGGUGUAGCCUCCAUUGCAGUUGACAGCCCAGGACUGAAGGGGUCAUACAAAGAAGUUAAGGACUUGGCACCAUGAGGAGAGCCUAUGAGAGGCUAUUGAUGAAGCCUAGUUGUAGACGACCCCACAUAUUGGAGAUGCCAGUACCAUGGGAUGACCCCCAAGAAGAGCAGCAACAGUGGAGUGGAGUCAACCAGAGCCUAGAGUGCUACAGAGGGCAGAGCUGGAGAAGUGACCCAAGGCCUUUGGAGGAGCCCAGCAGAUCACACAUGAUGUUUGGUUCUCAGACAUAGGAGUAAGAAGCUCUAAAGUUGAAGUGGCCUUGGAUACCCCGAGAUAUUAGAAAUGUCAGAGCUAUGGGAUACCUGCCUAGGAAAGCUGCUAAUAGGGAGUGAAACCAGCCAAAGAGAAGGUAUGGUGUCGUCAGCCAAGUUGAACGGCUUUGGAGAUCUGAAGAGUGCUUUGAUCACAUACAUGGAGAUGCAGAGUUUGGAGUUUGCCCAGCAGUUUUUCUGUCUUGCUUUGGUCCAAUAUUUCCUUACCAUGACAUUUUGGAAUGCUAAUGUAUACCAUGGAUGAUGUUGGGGGUAUGUGAUCUGCUUUUUGAUUUUGAUUUCUUAGGGGAUUAUAGUUAAGAAAUUGCAUGAUCUCAGAAGAGACUUUGAACUUUGGAUUUUUAACAUUAUUGAGACUGUUAUAGACUAUGGGACUUUUUUGCUGUUGUUGUUGUUGUUGUUGUUUUUGUUUUUCGAGACAGGGUUUCUCUGUAUAGCCCUGGCUGUCCUGGAACUCACUCUGUAGACCAGGCUGGCCUCAAACUCAGAAAUCUGCCUGCCUCUGUCUCCCAAGUGCUGGGAUUAAAGGUGUGUGCCACCACGGUUGGCACUAUGGGACUUUUGAAGUUUGGACUAACUGUAUUUUGCAAUGUGCUAUGCAGAGGUAUGGGUCCCAUAGACUGUUUUGUGUUUGAACAAGCCUAUGAGGGCCAGGGAGUGAAAUGUGAUGGUUUGAAUAUGCUUGGUCCAGGGAGUGACACUCUUAGGAAGUAUGGCCUUGUUGGGGUAGAUGUGGCCCUGUUGGAGGACAUGUGUCACUCUGGGCGUGUGCUUUAGCCAGUCUUCAGUUUGCCUUUGGAAUAAGAUGUAGAAAUCUCAGCUGUUUCAGCACCAUGUCUGCCUGCAUCCUGCCAUGCUUCUUGCCAUGAUGAUAAUGGACUGAACCUCAGAACCUGUAAGCCUGCCCCAAUUAAAUGCUGUCCUUAAAGUUGCCUUGGUUAUGGUGUCUCUUUGCAGCAAUGGAAACCCCAAUUAGGACAAUGCCUUGAAGCCUGAAAGCACAACCAUGCACUGCUGAUCACCUGUCUUUGGGUAUCAGUAAGGUGAUUGCCAAUCUGAGCCUGGAGUGACCGACAUUUGCUGAACUGCUCUGGCCAACUGGAGGCUGGCUGCCACCUUCUUGCCCAGAAGCAAGGAUGGGCCAGUGGUCUUUCUAUUAUAUAUGUGUUACACAUUCCAUUCCCCAGCAGGUUAGCCACAGUCUCUUCCUGUGGUAAUGGCAAAGGCCAAGUGUGCAGAGUGGGUGGGUCAGGGGUAUUCUAGUUUCCUUCUGCUGCUGUUAUGAAACACUCUGACCAAAAAUGACUUAGGGGACAAAAGGGUUUAUCUAUCUUCCAGGUCACAAGCUAUCAUCAGGAGGAAGUCAGGACAGGAACUCAAAACAGAAACCAUAGAGCUGCCCUUCUCCACCUCCCUAUUGCUGUGACACUUUAAUACACUUCCACAUGGCCUGGUGACCCACAACCAUAAAGUUAUUUCAUUACUACUUUAGAACUGUAAUUUUGGGGCUGGAGAGAUGGCUCAGUGGUAAAGAGCACUGGUUGUUCUUCCAAAGGUCCUGAGUUCAAAUCCCAGCAACCACAUGGUGGCUCACAACCAUCUGUAAUGAGAUCUGACGCCCUCUUCU